This 427-nucleotide ribosomal RNA is filed under the name uncultured bacterium. RNAcentral describes it as "partial 16S ribosomal RNA". It matches the Rfam family "Bacterial small subunit ribosomal RNA", at positions 354 to 796 of the family's 1533-position model. The record is from RNAcentral.
GUGAGGAAUAUUGGGCAAUGGGGGAAACCCUGACCCAGCGACGCCGCGUGAAGGAUGAAGGCCUUCGGGUUGUAAACUUCUUUUGGAGGGGACGAAUAAAUUGACGGUACCCUCAGAAAAAGCCACGGCUAACUACGUGCCAGCAGCCGCGGUAAUACGUAGGUGGCGAGCGUUACUCGGAAUUACUAGGCGUAAAGCGUAUGUAGGCGGUUGUAUAAGUCUAUGGUGAAAUUUCCUGGCUCAACUGGGAAGGGACAUAGAUACUGUAUGGCUUGAGUGUUGGAGGGGGAGACGGAAUUCCUGGUGUAGCGGUGAAAUGCGUAGAUAUCAGGAGGAACACCGAUGGCGAAAGCAGUCUCCUGGCCAAAUACUGACGCUGAGGUACGAAAGCUAGGGUAGCAAACAGGAUUAGAAACCCCAGUAGUCC